CUGUCUCUCCCCAGAUGGGCAGGUACUCAUCCUGCUGAAUGUCCAGCAUGAUCUCCAGCCCGUUGCCUGUCCCCCCCUUGACCGUGGUGAGCAGAGGUUUGCCAUCCUCGCCUGAGUUAAACAUGUAACACUUCCCAUAUUUUGUAAACACCUGAAGGAGAGAAGAGAGAGAGAGAGAGAAGCACAUGGGUAACUUCAGACGGGGGUCCAGAGAUUGGCGAGACCCCAGAAAUCUGACAGCAGGACCCAAGCGUUUUUUGACUGCAUCACUCUGGUUUCCUAGCUGGACUUCAGGAUUCCAGAUGACCUUCUCCAGCCCAUCCUCUAAGAUGAGGAACCAAAGUUCAAGGAGGUUCAACGUCUUACAGAUUUGGUGGUGCACUUGCUCUUCCCACUGCCCAGUGAAGCGCUACUCGAUCAUACUAGACACAAUGUGGUUGGUCUAUGGGAGGGAGUAUCAGGAAGCAUGAGGAGCCCACACUUCUACAAAGAGUCGAGAUGCCUUCACAAAGAUGCCUCAUGCUGCAAGGUCGUGAAUGCCAAGUGCUCUAGUGUUUCAGAGGUGGAGGAGAUCCCUACAGAUGAGGCACCAGGAAAAGCUUCAAGGUGGAGGCCGGUCUGAGUCUGGCCUCAAAGGAUGAAAUGAUUCAGAUAAACAGCAAAACAAAGCAACAGGAAGGGAGAGAUAACAACAAAGGCAGAGAUGUAGGAGUGAGCAAGGGAGACUGAAUGAGCAGUCCCUGGGACAGAAGGUGGUUUGUGAGGCUGGAAGAGGAGUUGAAACUUGUUUGUAAUUAUUGUGUGGUGUAUUUGCAUUUCUAAUUGCGCUGAGGGACACUGAAGGCCAAGCUUCCAGUCUCUGGGCUGUCUUUCACCUGCGCCGCGGUGCUGAGUUGUUGGCGGCGGCGGCAGCGUCUUUUCUCCAAGCAGCACCUGUGAGAGCAGCAGCUCCAGCUGGAGUCCCAAGACUUCCAAUCAACAUAGAGAGCCACAGGGCCUGUGCCUGCGUGGGUUUGCUGUAAGGAGCCUGUAACGCAUCGAGGAGCCCAGCGCCCAACCCCACACCUGGCAUUGGCUGGGUGCUCAAUAAAUGCUGGCUGACCACGGCUGUUCCUGAACGAAUCCUUAUCUCGCUUAUCUGAUUCAAGCGCCGGGUGGGCGCACUGUGGGCUGGCAGCAAGGGUUCCUGAUGCCAGGACUCUUGGAUUUGCUCCACAGGUGUCUGCGCAUCCAUCUGGAAACUGAGCAUCUGUGCAGGGAAUCCAUUUCCUCUUCUAACUUCUGAAUAGCUUUAGAUACUUCUGACUUCUGAACCCCUUUAGAUGUAUGCUGUCAUUUACCAGGAACAUCCUAACAUUGAUGAUUGAGGCUUCUUUGGCCAUUUCUGCCUCCACAAGCCUUACUUUUU
RNAcentral lists this long non-coding RNA (1408 nucleotides) under Homo sapiens (human). RNAcentral's name for it is "HSALNT0389381". The record is from RNAcentral. Lineage: Eukaryota; Metazoa; Chordata; Mammalia; Primates; Hominidae.